This 2900-nucleotide ribosomal RNA is filed under the name Klebsiella pneumoniae BIDMC 22. RNAcentral describes it as "bacterial LSU rRNA". It matches the Rfam family "Bacterial large subunit ribosomal RNA". The record is from RNAcentral. Lineage: Bacteria; Pseudomonadati; Pseudomonadota; Gammaproteobacteria; Enterobacterales; Enterobacteriaceae.
UUAAGCGACUAAGCGUACACGGUGGAUGCCCUGGCAGUCAGAGGCGAUGAAGGACGUGCUAAUCUGCGAAAAGCGUCGGUAAGGUGAUAUGAACCGUUACAGCCGGCGAUGUCCGAAUGGGGAAACCCAGUGCGAUUCGUUACACUAUCGUUAACUGAAUACAUAGGUUAACGAGGCGAACCGGGGGAACUGAAACAUCUAAGUACCCCGAGGAAAAGAAAUCAACCGAGAUUCCCCCAGUAGCGGCGAGCGAACGGGGAGCAGCCCAGAGUCUGAAUCAGCUUGUGUGUUAGUGGAACGGUCUGGAAAGUCCGACGGUACAGGGUGAUAGUCCCGUACACCAAAAUGCACAGGCUGUGAACUCGAAGAGUAGGGCGGGACACGUGGUAUCCUGUCUGAAUAUGGGGGGACCAUCCUCCAAGGCUAAAUACUCCUGACUGACCGAUAGUGAACCAGUACCGUGAGGGAAAGGCGAAAAGAACCCCGGCGAGGGGAGUGAAAAAGAACCUGAAACCGUGUACGUACAAGCAGUGGGAGCACCUUCGGGUGUGACUGCGUACCUUUUGUAUAAUGGGUCAGCGACUUAUAUUCUGUAGCAAGGUUAACCGUAUAGGGGAGCCGCAGGGAAACCGAGUCUUAACUGGGCGUUAAGUUGCAGGGUAUAGACCCGAAACCCGGUGAUCUAGCCAUGGGCAGGUUGAAGGUUGGGUAACACUAACUGGAGGACCGAACCGACUAAUGUUGAAAAAUUAGCGGAUGACUUGUGGCUGGGGGUGAAAGGCCAAUCAAACCGGGAGAUAGCUGGUUCUCCCCGAAAGCUAUUUAGGUAGCGCCUCGUGAACUCAUCUUCGGGGGUAGAGCACUGUUUCGGCUAGGGGGUCAUCCCGACUUACCAACCCGAUGCAAACUACGAAUACCGAAGAAUGUUAUCACGGGAGACACACGGCGGGUGCUAACGUCCGUCGUGAAGAGGGAAACAACCCAGACCGCCAGCUAAGGUCCCAAAGUCAUGGUUAAGUGGGAAACGAUGUGGGAAGGCACAGACAGCCAGGAUGUUGGCUUAGAAGCAGCCAUCAUUUAAAGAAAGCGUAAUAGCUCACUGGUCGAGUCGGCCUGCGCGGAAGAUGUAACGGGGCUAAACCAUGCACCGAAGCUGCGGCAGCGACACUAUGUGUUGUUGGGUAGGGGAGCGUUCUGUAAGCCUGCGAAGGUGUGCUGUGAGGCAUGCUGGAGGUAUCAGAAGUGCGAAUGCUGACAUAAGUAACGAUAAAGCGGGUGAAAAGCCCGCUCGCCGGAAGACCAAGGGUUCCUGUCCAACGUUAAUCGGGGCAGGGUGAGUCGACCCCUAAGGCGAGGCCGAAAGGCGUAGUCGAUGGGAAACAGGUUAAUAUUCCUGUACUUGGUGUUACUGCGAAGGGGGGACGGAGAAGGCUAUGUUAGCCGGGCGACGGUUGUCCCGGUUUAAGCAUGUAGGCUGGUUGUCCAGGCAAAUCCGGAUAAUCAAGGCUGAGGUGUGAUGACGAGGCACUACGGUGCUGAAGUAACAAAUGCCCUGCUUCCAGGAAAAGCCUCUAAGCAUCAGGUAACAUCAAAUCGUACCCCAAACCGACACAGGUGGUCAGGUAGAGAAUACCAAGGCGCUUGAGAGAACUCGGGUGAAGGAACUAGGCAAAAUGGUGCCGUAACUUCGGGAGAAGGCACGCUGGUGUGUAGGUGAAGUCCCUGCGGAUGGAGCUGAGACCAGUCGAAGAUACCAGCUGGCUGCAACUGUUUAUUAAAAACACAGCACUGUGCAAACACGAAAGUGGACGUAUACGGUGUGACGCCUGCCCGGUGCCGGAAGGUUAAUUGAUGGGGUUAUCCGUAAGGAGAAGCUCUUGAUCGAAGCCCCGGUAAACGGCGGCCGUAACUAUAACGGUCCUAAGGUAGCGAAAUUCCUUGUCGGGUAAGUUCCGACCUGCACGAAUGGCGUAAUGAUGGCCAGGCUGUCUCCACCCGAGACUCAGUGAAAUUGAACUCGCUGUGAAGAUGCAGUGUACCCGCGGCAAGACGGAAAGACCCCGUGAACCUUUACUAUAGCUUGACACUGAACAUUGAGCCUUGAUGUGUAGGAUAGGUGGGAGGCUUUGAAGCGUGGACGCCAGUCUGCGUGGAGCCAACCUUGAAAUACCACCCUUUAAUGUUUGAUGUUCUAACGUUGGCCCCUGACCGGGGUUGCGGACAGUGUCUGGUGGGUAGUUUGACUGGGGCGGUCUCCUCCCAAAGCGUAACGGAGGAGCACGAAGGUUAGCUAAUCCUGGUCGGACAUCAGGAGGUUAGUGCAAUGGCAUAAGCUAGCUUGACUGCGAGCGUGACGGCGCGAGCAGGUGCGAAAGCAGGUCAUAGUGAUCCGGUGGUUCUGAAUGGAAGGGCCAUCGCUCAACGGAUAAAAGGUACUCCGGGGAUAACAGGCUGAUACCGCCCAAGAGUUCAUAUCGACGGCGGUGUUUGGCACCUCGAUGUCGGCUCAUCACAUCCUGGGGCUGAAGUAGGUCCCAAGGGUAUGGCUGUUCGCCAUUUAAAGUGGUACGCGAGCUGGGUUUAGAACGUCGUGAGACAGUUCGGUCCCUAUCUGCCGUGGGCGCUGGAGAAUUGAGGGGGGCUGCUCCUAGUACGAGAGGACCGGAGUGGACGCAUCACUGGUGUUCGGGUUGUCAUGCCAAUGGCACUGCCCGGUAGCUAAAUGCGGAAGAGAUAAGUGCUGAAAGCAUCUAAGCACGAAACUUGCCCCGAGAUGAGUUCUCCCUGAGACUUUAAGUCUCCUGAAGGAACGUUGAAGACGACGACGUUGAUAGGCCGGGUGUGUAAGCGCAGCGAUGCGUUGAGCUAACCGGUACUAAUGAACCGUGAGGCUUAACCUU